GAACGCGGCGGCAUGCUUACACUGCAAGUCGAACGGCAGCACGGGUGCUUGCACUGGUGGCGAGUGGCGAACGGGUGAGUAAUACAUCGGAACAUGUCCUGUAGUGGGGAAUAGCCCGGCGAAAGCCGGAUUAAUACCGCAUACGAUCUACGGAUGAAAGCGGGGGACUUCCGGGCCUCGCGCUAUAGGGUUGGCCGAUGGCUGAUAGCUAGUUGGUGGGGUAAAGGCCUACCAAGGCGACGAUCAGUAGCUGGUCUGAGAGGACGACCAGCCACACUGGGACUGAGACACGGCCCAGACUCCUACGGGAGGCAGCAGUGGGGAAUUUUGGACAAUGGGCGAAAGCCUGAUCCAGCAAUGCCGCGUGUGUGAAGAAGGCCUUCGGGUUGUAAAGCACUUUUGUCCGGAAAGAAAUCCUUGGCUCUAAUACAGUCGGGGGAUGACGGUACCGGAAGAAUAAGCACCGGCUAACUACGUGCCAGCAGCCGCGGUAAUACGUAGGGUGCGAGCGUUAAUCGGAAUUACUGGGCGUAAAGCGUGCGCAGGCGGUUUGCUAAGACCGAUGUGAAAUCCCCGGGCUCAACCUGGGAACUGCAUUGGUGACUGGCAGGCUAGAGUAUGGCAGAGGGGGGUAGAAUUCCACGUGUAGCAGUGAAAUGCGUAGAGAUGUGGAGGAAUACCGAUGGCGAAGGCAGCCCCCUGGGCCAAUACUGACGCUCAUGCACGAAAGCGUGGGGAGCAAACAGGAUUAGAUACCCUGGUAGUCCACGCCCUAAACGAUGUCAACUAGUUGUUGGGGAUUCAUUUCCUUAGUAACGUAGCUAACGCGUGAAGUUGACCGCCUGGGGAGUACGGUCGCAAGAUUAAAACUCAAAGGAAUUGACGGGGACCCGCACAAGCGGUGGAUGAUGUGGAUUAAUUCGAUGCAACGCGAAAAACCUUACCUACCCUUGACAUGGUCGGAAUCCUGCUGAGAGGUGGGAGUGCUCGAAAGAGAACCGG
Molecule: ribosomal RNA, 1002 nt
Filed under: Burkholderia puraquae
Lineage: Bacteria; Pseudomonadati; Pseudomonadota; Betaproteobacteria; Burkholderiales; Burkholderiaceae
Description: bacterial SSU rRNA
Rfam family: Bacterial small subunit ribosomal RNA
Source: RNAcentral